Molecule: ribosomal RNA, 462 nt
Filed under: uncultured bacterium
Lineage: Bacteria
Description: partial 16S ribosomal RNA
Rfam family: Bacterial small subunit ribosomal RNA
Source: RNAcentral
GACGAACGCUGGCGGCGUGCUUAACACAUGCAAGUCGAACGGUGAAGCCCUUCGGGGUGGCUCAGUGGCGAACGGGUGAGUAACACGUGAGCAACCUGCCCCUGGCUCUGGGACAACCACUGGAAACGGUGGCUAAUACCGGAUACGACCCGCCUCGGCAUCGAGUGUGGGUGGAAAGUUUUUCGGCUGGGGAUGGGCUCGCGGCCUAUCAGCUUGUUGGUGAGGUGAAGGCUCACCAAGGCGACGACGGGUAGCCGGCCUGAGAGGGCGACCGGCCACACUGGGACUGAGACACGGCCCAGACUCCUACGGGAGGCAGCAGUGGGGAAUAUUGCACAAUGGGCGAAAGCCUGAUGCAGCGACACCGCGUGAGGGAUGACGGCCUUCGGGUUGUAAACCUCUUUCAGCUCCGAAGAAGCGAAAGUGACGGUAGGAGCAGAAGAAGCACCGGCUAACUACGUG